Molecule: long non-coding RNA, 6701 nt
Organism: Suricata suricatta (meerkat)
Lineage: Eukaryota; Metazoa; Chordata; Mammalia; Carnivora; Herpestidae
Exons: 2
Source: RefSeq, a predicted model, not a curated record
ACCACCUUGUGCAGCCGCGCCUGGGGGCUCGGCUGCAGCGGGUGGCCCAUGGGGAGGGGUGCCACUGCCACAGCAUGCACUCCGUCACCCCAGGACAGCCGAGCACACAACCCCGAAGGACACGGCUGGUGGAGGGGUGGGCUCGUGGGCCUGGGGUUCCGGCAGCCCCUCCAGAGGCUCCGCGCGCAGCACCAACGCCUUGAGCCACAAAGGACCCCCGCCGGCUAAGUGCCGGCCUUUCAAUACCUUCUAACUCAAUGAUACCGGAGGGUGAAAUGCAAUCCGACCACCCAGUCAGGUACCAGUGCUCCCUUUUCUGUUAGUAAGAGUGACUUCAGUGGGCCCACGGCACCGGCGGACCGCUUUAUACACACUAAUUUCUUUCCCAACUGUAGGUACAUGGCCAAAAACACUCAAAGGAUCUUGAAAAUAACGGCAAUUUGGGGGCACCUGGCUGGCUAAGUUGAUGGUGCUUGCGACCCCCAAAAUCCCUUCCAGGCCUGAGACAGCGGACAUUAGUCACCGGGGUUCCCAUGAGGAUUAAGCGAGGCCACGAAGGGGUGAGGGCAAAGCAAGCGCCUGCCGGCUCUCCUGGGGGGUGGCCACCAGUGCCUCUGCUUUCUCACUGGUGAGGAAGCAAAGCUCGGCUUAAAAACAAAAGCUCUUGACUGGUUACGUUCUUACCAGAAAAUUCAAGUACAUCCUCCACAGUAAGGGGCACUGGCUGCCGUGCUCACUCCGCAGCGCAUUUUCAAACAGGGCCUGGAUGCGAUGCGCCAGGCCGGUCUCGGGGAUGGUGGCGCGGACCUCUCUGCCGCCUACCCUGCAAGACAAAGCCUCACGUGACUCCGAGGCCAGCUCUCGCACCCACGGCACUACGGGCAGAGGAGGUGCGAUGGUGACAGCGAACGUCGGCACCGGCGGGACCAGGAUGUGUCCGGGAUGGUGCUGUCCCGUGUGUGGGGGCCCUGGGGGUGCAGAGUCAAGACCUGACGUGGCCCCUCCAAGGCCUGAGGAAGGCGGGGUCCAGGGCUAGGUGGGUUUCUACGCCAGAGUCUGCCUCACAGUCACCCACAGACUCCCUGCUCUCUGUUUUCUAAAGAAAGCUUACCCUUUAAUCAGAAUGCAAACCCUCGUUUAUGGGAAGAAAAGUCCUUUCCAUUUUGGGACCCGAGAGUGAAUAAAAUCCCAGUGGAAGAAAUAAAAACAAAGUGAAACACUGCUCAGAAGCGACUCUGAGGAGUCAGCUGACAUGAGGUCAGAGUGAAGCCACAGCAAAGGUCUGGAAGGAACAAUACUGCCUAAGCUAACAUGCUCCCCAGACUCGGCCUAACCUUCGGAUACAAGCACUGGAUCAAGAGAUGACAGUUAAAGCGGACACUACUGUCAUCUGUAAUAACGAGAGAGACUAGUAAUUCUUUCCGCUCCCUCUGUGCUCGGCACUCACCUGGGGGGCCCCUCCGAGCAGCGCUAAGAGGGAGGCUCUUACUCCGUUACCGAAGGGGAGCCCGUGAGAGGUGACGUGACUUGCCCACGGCCACACAGCUGGUAAGUGGAGGAGCGGGACUGAGUCCAGAGUCCUACUUCAGGCUCGGGCGUUUGGCCAACAUGCUUUUACCACAGCUCGGAUGGCUGGAAGCCUGACCGCCAACCACCCACAGGCCAUAAGCAACAUUCAGGAUCCCAACGAGCAUGGCCUCGUGACGGCCACGAAGGCCCCUAACAAGCUGUUGCCAUCUGCAAGCCUCGGAUUCCUCUUUCCACAGGUCAUCCUCCAGCGCCGGCCCAUGCUCCCUUCUGGAGCCCUGCGGCCCGGCAGGGCGGGGGGGCCACACGAACGGGGUGUCUGGACUCACCUCUGAACACUUUCCACCAGCCUCUUCCUCAUCUGCUCAGCCUCAAUCGCAAACAACCAAGGCUCCAAGAGUUUGGUAGACCUGGUAACUGCGUCGAAGAAUCUUCUGGUCUUACUGGCCGUGUGGGACUUACUCUGAACCUGCACGUACGCCCUCCAGAGCACCUGGUUGCCCGGGUACAACUGUAGAGCCUCAGAGAGCGCCUGUCGCAGAGGGGCCAGGGGGUAGGGGCUGACCUUCAUGUGGAAUCUGAGCAGGCUGGCGUGCAUCAGCGUAACGGCCUCCAGCGCGCCGCUUGGGCUCUGGGCGCCGGGCCCGUCCUCCGAGCCACGGCCCCCGGGGGGGACAGAGCCCUUCAGUUUUGCAAAUACCUGCUCGUACACCCGCACGGCUGCAUCGAUCCCCACCGUCAAAUACUGGAAGAGCAUGAAGCAUUUCACCAGGCUGAUCCAACGGGGGGAGGAGUCGCUGGGAGCUGGCCCGGGGACACAGCUGUCACCCAAACAGUCCUGCAGCACGUGCUCGUAAGCCUUGCGAGCCUUCAAGACGUGAACGGCCAGCACCUGCCCGGAGUAGGGCCUGUAGGGCCCCUGGUCGGUCAGCCUGGUCAGGACGUGCACGGCUCGCGCCGCGGCGGCCCCCCUCGACCCGGCCGGCAGCUCGGCCUCCAGCCCGGCGUACAGGAGGCCGAGCUCACACAGCUCGCGGUCCUGCAGGCCGCCGCCCCCCGCCAUGCUGAGCGCCGCAUCGAACACCUUCCUGGCAUCCUCCGUGUUGCCAAGCAACCACUCCAGAUGAGCAUACUGCCUCCAGAGGCAGAAGUUGUUGCGGUUUUCGGGCUCCUUAAGGAGAUUUUUGGCUAGUUUCUUGCAGUUCUUUCCUUGUGACUUUAGCCUCUUCUUGUUUUUAGUGUGCAGACACCAAAUGACCUGUAAGAGCAAAGAAGGACUCCCAAGUGCUCUGUGAUUUUAAAGCAGCCCCUGUGCACUGUCGGGGUCAGAAAGCCACACGCGUGCCCACACUUCCCUCCUUGAUCACGUGCUAGGUAAACUCUCAGGCUCCCUGAGCCCGGAAACAAUUCAGGAUCAGACCAUGGCCUCAGGCGCCCGCCAAUGACUGCGUCCGGGCUUCCAUCUGAGACCUCUAUAACCAAGGCUCCCACACGCCGAAGGGCCUUCUCCAGCGAGAGAAGGCCACCACACUCUGUCAGACACAUACCACCUGGUGGGUGCCGUGGCUCCAGCAGCAGAACUAUGGGGGUUAAGAGUCAGUACUGGCUGGUGGCCAGCAGAGGGCAGAAGAGCCCAUCCUAGACAAAUUUUUAGCAAACAGAUCCGAGGAGUGGGCUUACGUAGUUUAUUUUCUCUAUUUUAAUAAACCCCAAAAUCCUCUAACUUGAGCUUAACUCAAACUUAAGCCUGGCUCUUCACGCUAACUGCUCCUACAAUCCCAGACAUCUAACACACACAGCCCCAAGCACGGGCGAGCCGCACCCCCUUCUCCUGACCACCACAGCCCCUCAGGAGGGGCAGCCACACCCCAGGGGCCUGUGGGUCCCCUGAACAAGGAGGUGGUGUGGCCCCGUGCUCCGAGGAACACCAAGAGCUCAUUUGUGAAGCCCCCACGUGGGGUGGAGGAGGCCGAGUUACCUUCGCGAUCUCGUACCGUAACCAGGAGAAGCAGAGCUCAGACCUCUCCCGGCCUGAAAACAAAGGCAUCACGAGGUGGAAGAUGUUGCGGAUGAACUCCUCGCCCUCCCGGCUGUGACCCCGCGUCCAGCGCCGGCAGCCCAGCGGGUCCGAGCGGCCAACACAGCUGACGCCGGAGAAGGAAAGGUUGAGAAAAGUCAGUGGCAUUUCAUCGUGAAGUCCGUUAUCGAAGAUGCUGUUCUCAUCCAUGGCCAGGUAGAGGCAGGAGGCGGGAGGGCUGAGGCCAGAAGGCACGCCCAGGAACUGCAGAAAGGCCGCAACCAGCCCAAACUGAAGAUCCUGGCUGGAGAGACGGAUUAGGGACUGUGCGAUGUCAUCAAACAGCACCUGCAAGAGACACAAGAUGAAGGGGCGCUCAGGAGCUCGGCGUGUCUACUGUGACAAACGGCAGGGCUUCCUGACUCUCCCUGCACCUCCUUUCACAGGGAUGUGCUGAUGAGUCAGCAUUAUUCAAGUUAAAUUUUAAGUGGACAAGUGUUAGGUUCCCUGCAAGAUGCAAAAAAGUCAGAGGCCUCGCAAGGCUCCGGAGAGCUGCAGGGAACUGCUGGCAGGCUUAAGCCAAAACCUUUCCGAAGAAGCCUGAUGGAGUCACAGAAUGGAGAAUCCUACUCACUUCUGAAAGCGCACAUAACUGCUUCUGUGGUUACUCUGAUAAGUUAACAAGUGUUAAAACUGUUUAUUGAGACAGAAAAUAAGAACUUUAUUAUUUGGUGAUUCCUUUGUACAAAAUUGUUUUUGGAAAUGAGAAAUACGCUCAAAAGUAGAUAGAAAGUAGCAAGGCGGGAAGGAAAGGUCAGCAGCCAUGGACCACGCGCUAAGAGCAAGACGACAGAACGCCAGCUGUAAAUGUCCACAGGUGAUUCCGUGCAGUGACUUGCAAAGGCGAGGCCCCGGAGACCAGCCCUUGACUCAGGGUGCUGCUGACCUGCCUGGUCUCCGUUGCUCUCAGCAAAGGGGUAGCCAGAGCACGAGCACAGAAAAUGGAUGCCCCGGGAGGCUCCUCGUCAGAACCGUCAGUUAAUCAGAAAGCUCUUCCACUCCAGGCUCUGAUUAGAGAAAAAGCUAAACGCCCAGGAACGGCUCACAGCAGCAGAUGGCUCCAGAGACAAACUUCCAAAAACAGCUGGGAUUCUGAGCCUUGAGAACUGGCUUCUGGAAAGGUGACCCUGAACACCCUAAAACCCAAACAAAACACCAAAGACCCUCCUCCUGCCAUGUUCAGUUUCAGCUGGAAAAGGGACCUCACGUGUAGACCCGCCUCUCAACGGGCCACACCAAACAUCCGAGAGCAGAGUGGAGGGUCCCCUGAGGUCGGCCACUCCUCCCUGCUCAGAGCUCCCCGGGUCCCCGGUCCUAAUUGCAGUCUGGCCACCCCAUUCGCCGCACCCCAAACAUUCCAGGCGCUCGUGCUGACCUCUCUGCCUGGAGCAGAAGAUCUGCCUUCAAAUACUCACUCACCAUCCAGAAACUUGAACCAGGCACUCGGCUCAGGAAGACGCCGUCCACGCACGGGUGGCCCAGCCAACAGGCGACCCCCUCCCCCUCGAGGCAGGUGAAUUGUGAGGGUCACAGACAGCAAGCCAGGCGGAAGCUCCCGGGCCUCCCUGCGGCAAACGCCCCCCGCGUGUACCCAGAACCACGCCGGUGCCGAGCAGCUCAGCCGGUGUCUCAUGAAGCUGGGUCCAUCUCAGGUCUCAAAACAGAACCUCUUCCUUGAAUGUUCGCCGUCCGAGCUGCUGGCCACCAGACACAGCGCAGCACAGGCCAAGUGCAGCGGAUGAGAGAACGCGAGUGACGUGCCUGGUGCACAGCUGGGACUCAGUUAAUGCCACUUCCCUCCCGGCAAGCCCUGCGGUACACUGACUGGCCCAACACGGCCUCUCCAUCCGGCUCCUCGUCUUCCAGAGUCAAACCUACCUGCCGCGACUCGGAGGACCCCAGAGUGUUGUGGGGAGAGCGGACACGGUUAACGAACCUAGGACCGCCAUACCACGUCUUAAAGCCCUGAGUCCUCAGGCUUCCGUGUGAAAAGUUAGCUGAAUAACCCGGAAGACACUCUCCGGAGACACCUACCCUCCUUACUUGGGGACAGGAACCACCUGGUCCGUGUCUCCGUGCUCCCGCAUCCCCAGUGGCCAACGAAGCUUCCACAGACAGAAACAGGAGCAAGCCAACAUCUCCCAAGCCAGGCGAGGGCUCAGAAUGAGCUCGGGGCUUCUGUCAGGGCGCCACGGCCGCCAGUGCCUCUGGUCUCGGGACCGCUCGGCGGCAAGCCAGAUCUGCCACCGCGGCAGAGACUUAUCCCUUAUUUCCUGGUCCUCAUCUUCUGGUUCAUCAUCGUCGUCAUCUAGGCAAGAACAGAAUGUUUAGAUCCCGUCACCAGCCAUCGACACCCAACCGCUCUGCUCCACCAGCUGCUGUUGGGGGAGGGGGGGCCUGGAAUGCCAUGAUGAGCAAGACCUGGCCUGCCUUCUGGGACACUCAGGGACUCCGAGGCACCGAGCGACUCUCCUGUCGUCAACCAAGUUCCCCAAAUUCCCUGGCAGGUUAGCCAAGGAAAUCAGAUGACUUUUAAUGCAAACGCAGCAAUUAAAAUGGGAAGACGCAGAUUAGAGAACAGCACUGCCCAACGGAACUUUCUGUGACGAUGACGUCAUGUGCGUGUCUGUGUCUAAUACGGUUGCAACCAGCCAUGUGACUUACUGGGCACCUGAAAUGUAGCUGAUCCCAGAACUAAAUUUUUCAUUUUGUCUCAUUUUAAUUGAAAUGGCCACGGCUGGGUGGCUCAGUUGGUUGUGUCUGGAAGUGUCUCUCGGUUUUGGCUCAUGGCAUGAUCUCGCGGUUCACAGGUUUGAGGCCCGCGCCGGGCUCCACCACCGGCAGCAUGGAACCUGCUUGCGAAUCUCUCGCCCCCUCUGUCUCUGCCCCUCUCCUGCUCGCUCGCUGUCUCUCAGAAUACAUACACUCAAAAUGGCCACGUGUGGCGAGUGCCUACUGUAUUUGGACAACACAGUUCCGGUGUUAAAUGAUAAUGAUCAGACUGGUUCAGAUUUCCUAAAGGCACUAGAAUUUUUAGCCACUGGCAUUAUGAUGACAAUCUGUGACCACUUCUCAAAAAAAGGUUAAAUCAAGAUUA